GUCGGGAUAGCUCAGCUGGUAGAGCAGAGGACUGAAAAUCCU
RNAcentral lists this transfer RNA (42 nucleotides) under Dillwynia parvifolia. Its description in RNAcentral is "partial tRNA-Phe". It matches the Rfam family "tRNA", at positions 1 to 41 of the family's 71-position model. From Rfam's summary of the family: Transfer RNA (tRNA) molecules are approximately 80 nucleotides in length. Their secondary structure includes four short double-helical elements and three loops (D, anti-codon, and T loops). The record is from RNAcentral. Lineage: Eukaryota; Viridiplantae; Streptophyta; Magnoliopsida; Fabales; Fabaceae. RNAcentral also lists the same sequence under 12 other names.